This 1974-nucleotide ribosomal RNA is filed under the name Triticum aestivum (bread wheat). RNAcentral describes it as "partial small subunit ribosomal RNA". The record is from RNAcentral. Lineage: Eukaryota; Viridiplantae; Streptophyta; Magnoliopsida; Poales; Poaceae.
AUGCCAAUGUCAUCAUGGCAACAUAUGAAGAUGUGCUCCUUGGUGAUGUCCAAGUGUACCCGGAGAAGGGGACUGUUGCGUUCUCUGCUGGUUUGCAUGGGUGGGCUUACAAACUUUGCCAAGAUGUAUGCUUCCAAGUUUGGAGUUGAUGAGGCGAAGAUGAUGGAGAGGCUGUGGGGUGAGAACUUCUUUGACCCAGCCACAAAGAAAUGGACCUCCAAGAACACCGGGACAGCUACCUGCAAGAGAGGUUUUGUUCAGUUUUGCUACGAGCCAAUCAAGCAAAUCAUAGCCACCUGCAUGAAUGAUCAGAAGGAUAAGUUGUGGCCUAUGUUGAAGAAGCUUGGUGUGACCAUGAAGAAUGAUGAGAAGGACUUGAUGGGCAAGGCUCUCAUGAAGCGUGUGAUGCAAACUUGGCUGCCUGCCAGUCGUGCUCUGCUUGAGAUGAUGAUAUUUCAUCUCCCUUCUCCUUCAAAGGCACAGAGGUAUCGUGUGGAGAACUUAUACGAGGGCCCCCUUGAUGAUAUAUAUGCUAAUGCUAUCAGAAAUUGUGACCCUGACGGUCCUCUUAUGCUGUAUGUCUCCAAGAUGAUUCCAGCAUCUGACAAGGGUAGAUUCUUUGCCUUUGGACGUGUUUUCGCUGGGAGGGUUGCAACUGGCAUGAAGGUCCGUAUCAUGGGACCUAACUUUGUUCCUGGCCAGAAGAAGGAUCUGUAUGUGAAAAGUGUCCAGCGUACUGUUAUCUGGAUGGGAAAGAAGCAAGAGUCUGUUGAGGAUGUUCCCUGUGGUAACACUGUUGCUUUGGUUGGUUUGGAUCAGUUCAUCACCAAGAAUGCAACCCUGACAAAUGAGAAGGAAGUUGAUGCCUGCCCAAUCAGGGCAAUGAAGUUCUCUGUGUCCCCUGUUGUGCGUGUUGCUGUUCAGUGCAAGGUGGCUUCUGAUCUUCCUAAGCUUGUUGAGGGUUUGAAGCGUCUUGCCAAGUCUGAUCCUAUGGUUCUCUGUACCAUUGAAGAGUCUGGUGAGCAUAUCAUUGCUGGAGCUGGAGAGCUUCAUCUUGAAAUCUGUCUGAAGGAUCUGCAGGAUGACUUCAUGGGUGGUGCUGAAAUUAUUGUUUCCCCUCCUGUUGUCUCCUUCCGUGAGACUGUUCUGGAGAAGUCCUGCCGGACCGUCAUGAGCAAGUCCCCCAACAAGCAUAACCGUCUUUACAUGGAGGCUCGCCCAUUGGAGGAGGGACUGGCUGAGGCUAUUGAUGAUGGCCGAAUUGGCCCACGUGAUGAUCCUAAGGUGCGCUCCAAGAUCCUGUCUGAGGAGUUUGGUUGGGACAAGGAUCUCGCCAAGAAGAUUUGGUGCUUUGGACCUGAGACUACUGGCCCCAACAUGGUUGUCGACAUGUGUAAGGGAGUGCAGUAUCUCAAUGAAAUCAAGGACUCUGUUGUGGCUGGGUUCCAGUGGGCAUCAAAGGAAGGUGCAUUGGCUGAGGAGAACAUGCGUGGCAUUUGCUUUGAGGUCUGUGAUGUUGUUCUGCACACUGAUGCUAUUCACAGGGGUGGUGGUCAGGUCAUCCCAACGGCUAGGAGGGUCAUUUACGCUUCUCAGCUCACUGCUAAGCCAAGGCUGCUGGAGCCCGUCUACCUGGUUGAGAUCCAGGCCCCGGAGAAUGCGCUUGGUGGUAUCUAUGGUGUUCUGAAUCAGAAGAGAGGUCACGUGUUCGAGGAGAUGCAGAGGCAAGGUACCCCGCUCUACAACAUCAAGGCCUACCUGCCUGUCAUUGAGUCCUUCGGGUUCUCGAGCACCCUCAGGGCUGCGACGUCCGGUCAGGCUUUCCCCCAGUGUGUGUUUGACCACUGGGACAUCAUGGCUUCCGAUCCUUUGGACCCUGGGACCCAGUCGGCGACGCUUGUCACCGAGAUCCGCAAGAGGAAGGGUCUCAAGGAACAGAUGACUCCCCUAUCCGAUUUUGAGGACAAGCUCUAA